GUACUGUGCAAACGUUGUUCAGAAUCACUGGGCUUAAAGGGUACGUAGGCGGCCAGUUAAGUAGGGUGUGAAAUCCCCCGGCUCAACCGGGGAACUGCGCUCUAAACUGACUGGCUUGAGUGAGAUAGGGGUGUGCGGAACUUCCAGUGGAGCGGUGAAAUGUGUUGAUAUUGGAAGGAACGCCGUUAGCGAAAGCGGCACACUGGGUCUCAACUGACGCUGAGGUACGAAAGCCAGGGUAGCGAACGGGAUUAGAUACCCCGGGUAGUCCUGGCUGUAAACGUUGAGCACUAGUCGGGAGGGGUUUCGGCCCUUCCCGGACGCAGCGAAAGCACUAAGUGCUCCGCCUGGGGAGUAUGGUCGCAAGGCUG
Molecule: ribosomal RNA, 371 nt
Filed under: uncultured organism
Description: partial 16S ribosomal RNA
Rfam family: Bacterial small subunit ribosomal RNA
Source: RNAcentral